UACGUAGGGGGCAAGCGUUGUCCGGAAUCAUUGGGCGUAAAGCGCGUGUAGGCGGCUCGGUAAGUCCGCUCUGAAAGUCCAGGGCUCAACCCUGGGAUGCGGGUGGAUACUGUCGGGCUGGAGUGCGGGAGAGGCGAGUGGAAUUCCUGGUGUAGCGGUGAAAUGCGCAGAUAUCAGGAGGAACACCAAUUGCGAAGGCAGCUCGCUGGAACGUAACUGACGCUGAGACGCGAAAGCGUGGGGAGCAAACAGG
Molecule: ribosomal RNA, 253 nt
Filed under: uncultured bacterium
Lineage: Bacteria
Description: partial 16S ribosomal RNA
Rfam family: Bacterial small subunit ribosomal RNA
Source: RNAcentral